GAGAGUGAGCUUCAAGCUCCUUUGAAAGGUAUAAGACUUGGUUUCAUAGGAUUUUGGAGGGCUUUUUACAAUUGUUGUUUAAAGUCAGUGUUUAUAUUGGUGAUUUGGAUUUUUUGUAAUAAAGUUAGGAUAAGUACUCUUGACUGUUUUGUAAAAUUGGAAAAACAUCUAUGGUUGAAAUUUUAGAGAUGUUUAGAUAGUUGAGUAUGCCAAGCACAUGCAAAAACUUGUAUGAAUCUAAUGGUAUGGAUAGAGAAUAUUUGAUCGUUAGUGUAAAGAGGUAUCAGAAGUUGGCAGAUUGAGAUUGUUUAGGGUUUCUACGAUAUCUG
Molecule: long non-coding RNA, 329 nt
Filed under: Physcomitrium patens
Lineage: Eukaryota; Viridiplantae; Streptophyta; Bryopsida; Funariales; Funariaceae
Description: long non-coding RNA (PPAT_LNC002771)
Source: RNAcentral